RNAcentral lists this ribosomal RNA (402 nucleotides) under uncultured prokaryote. RNAcentral describes it as "bacterial SSU rRNA". It matches the Rfam family "Bacterial small subunit ribosomal RNA", at positions 355 to 774 of the family's 1533-position model. The record is from RNAcentral.
UAGGGAAUAUUAGAAAUGGACGAAAGUCUGAUCUAGCAACACCGCGUGUGCGAUGAAGGCCUUCGGGUCGUAAAGCACUUUUUGGAAGGAAUAGGAAGGAAUGUACUUCCAGAAUAAGUCUCGGCUAACUACGUGCCAGUAGCCGCGGUAACACGUAGGAGGCAAACGUUAUCCGGAUUUACUGGGCGUAAAGCGCGUGUAGGUGGUACUGUAAGUAGGGCGUGAAAGCUCCUGGCUCAACUGGGAGAGGCCGUUCUAAACUACAGAACUAGAGGAUGGUAGAGGGAGGUGGAAUUCCAGGUGUAGCGGUGGAAUGCGCAGAUAUCGGGAGGAACACCGGUGGCGAAGGCGGCCUCCUGGACCAUUCCUGACACUCAGACGCGAAAGCUAGGGUAGCAAACG